This 1157-nucleotide ribosomal RNA is filed under the name Escherichia coli. RNAcentral describes it as "partial 23S ribosomal RNA". It matches the Rfam family "Bacterial large subunit ribosomal RNA", at positions 1 to 1191 of the family's 2925-position model. The record is from RNAcentral. Lineage: Bacteria; Pseudomonadati; Pseudomonadota; Gammaproteobacteria; Enterobacterales; Enterobacteriaceae.
GGGUUGUGAGGUUAAGCGACUAAGCGUACACGGUGGAUGCCCUGGCAGUCAGAGGCGAUGAAGGACGUGCUAAUCUGCGAUAAGCGUCGGUAAGGUGAUAUGAACCGUUAUAACCGGCGAUUUCCGAAUGGGGAAACCCAGUGUGUUUCGACACACUAUCAUUAACUGAAUCCAUAGGUUAAUGAGGCGAACCGGGGGAACUGAAACAUCUAAGUACCCCGAGGAAAAGAAAUCAACCGAGAUUCCCCCAGUAGCGGCGAGCGAACGGGGAGGAGCCCAGAGCCUGAAUCAGUGUGUGUGUUAGUGGAAGCGUCUGGAAAGGCGCGCGAUACAGGGUGACAGCCCCGUACACAAAAAUGCACAUACUGUGAGCUCGAUGAGUAGGGCGGGACACGUGGUAUCCUGUCUGAAUAUGGGGGGACCAUCCUCCAAGGCUAAAUACUCCUGACUGACCGAUAGUGAACCAGUACCGUGAGGGAAAGGCGAAAAGAACCCCGGCGAGGGGAGUGAAAAAGAACCUGAAACCGUGUACGUACAAGCAGUGGGAGCCUCUUAAUGGGGUGACUGCGUACCUUUUGUAUAAUGGGUCAGCGACUUAUAUUCUGUAGCAAGGUUAACCGAAUAGGGGAGCCGAAGGGAAACCGAGUCUUAACUGGGCGUUAAGUUGCAGGGUAUAGACCCGAAACCCGGUGAUCUAGCCAUGGGCAGGUUGAAGGUUGGGUAACACUAACUGGAGGACCGAACCGACUAAUGUUGAAAAAUUAGCGGAUGACUUGUGGCUGGGGGUGAAAGGCCAAUCAAACCGGGAGAUAGCUGGUUCUCCCCGAAAGCUAUUUAGGUAGCGCCUCGUGAAUUCAUCUCCGGGGGUAGAGCACUGUUUCGGCAAGGGGGUCAUCCCGACUUACCAACCCGAUGCAAACUGCGAAUACCGGAGAAUGUUAUCACGGGAGACACACGGCGGGUGCUAACGUCCGUCGUGAAGAGGGAAACAACCCAGACCGCCAGCUAAGGUCCCAAAGUCAUGGUUAAGUGGGAAACGAUGUGGGAAGGCCCAGACAGCCAGGAUGUUGGCUUAGAAGCAGCCAUCAUUUAAAGAAAGCGUAAUAGCUCACUGGUCGAGUCGGCCUGCGCGGAAGAUGUAACGGGGCUAAACCAUG